This 1072-nucleotide long non-coding RNA is filed under the name Cyanistes caeruleus (blue tit). Its description in RNAcentral is "lncRNA (ENSCCEG00000008872.1)". Lineage: Eukaryota; Metazoa; Chordata; Aves; Passeriformes; Paridae. The record is from RNAcentral.
AGCCCAAAAACUUUCAGUAAUCCUAUGCAUUCAGAAGCUGCAACUCAGAAAACAAAUCACCAGAUCAUCACUGGUGAAGAUAAGAAAUGGAAGUGUCACCAAUAUUCCCAAGUCCAUAGGGAACUACCGGCUGGACAGUCCCCAUCUGGUAGGUUUCUCAGCAUGCUCAGUAAAUGCAAACACUUUUUGCCUAUGUUUGAGAUAAGUGUGUGACAAAAAGUCCAUCUCUUAAUACAGAUCUCUCGUGUGUAAAAUAUGUGGAUUGGAGUCUUUUCAGGUGAAAGAAGAGCUCCUGAGAGGAGCCAUUGGCAUCUACCUCCCCCUUUGUGGAGGACAGGAAUACUGCAGUCACUGACUCUGCUGCAUAAAGUUUUGAAGAAAUACAAGUUUCUCUUCAGAUAAACCUGCAUUUUUCUAUGCACACCUGGCUUUAAAGGAAUCUACCCCUCUCAAGUGGUUACUUAGCAACUUCUCAAGAACCCAUAUUCAAAAUAGUAUGAAUCCAUUAAACACUUCCUUGUGCUGUUUUGCUGGUGAGAAGGUCUUCAAAGAGGAGGGACUGGACACUGAUAUUUUGAGUUCAGUUCAGUUGGUAGAUAAUUGUUCUAAACAUGUAAACCAACAUAGAAAUAGGAAACUCUAACACAUCACUUUGGCCAGUUAGAAAUUGUAUGGUUUUGUAUGAUUCCCCCUCCCCAAAAAUAUAAGCCUUUUUCUCCCACAGAGAUGAUGGACAACAAUCUGACCCCUCCUGGCAUUUCCUGUUUUCCUUUAGAGAGGUUUUGAAGGCUGGAGCCUGAUCCAUUCACCAUCAGAUGCUGGAUUUUACACUGGAUUAAAUGUUUUCUUUUGCAGCGAUAUUAUGCAAGCUUCACUGGCACGGGGAAACUGUUGCCAUACAUCUCAAACUAAGAACAGUUUCCAGGAAUCAUCCCUUCAGGUAUUUUCCACUCCAUUGAAUGACCAGGCUACUUCAUGCAGAUCUAAGCAGAAUGUGGGGGGGAUUUUGUCUGGCUGUGACAAUUUCAGGUACGUGAGGAAGGUAUCACUGCUGGUAUAAUUGUUCUGUAAU